This 433-nucleotide ribosomal RNA is filed under the name Pseudomonas sp. R-38773. Its description in RNAcentral is "bacterial SSU rRNA". It matches the Rfam family "Bacterial small subunit ribosomal RNA", at positions 21 to 456 of the family's 1533-position model. Lineage: Bacteria; Pseudomonadati; Pseudomonadota; Gammaproteobacteria; Pseudomonadales; Pseudomonadaceae. The record is from RNAcentral.
GGCUCAGAUUGAACGCUGGCGGCAGGCCUAACACAUGCAAGUCGAGCGGUAGAGAGAAGCUUGCUUCUCUUGAGAGCGGCGGACGGGUGAGUAAUGCCUAGGAAUCUGCCUGGUAGUGGGGGAUAACGUUCGGAAACGGACGCUAAUACCGCAUACGUCCUACGGGAGAAAGCAGGGGACCUUCGGGCCUUGCGCUAUCAGAUGAGCCUAGGUCGGAUUAGCUAGUUGGUGGGGUAAUGGCUCACCAAGGCGACGAUCCGUAACUGGUCUGAGAGGAUGAUCAGUCACACUGGAACUGAGACACGGUCCAGACUCCUACGGGAGGCAGCAGUGGGGAAUAUUGGACAAUGGGCGAAAGCCUGAUCCAGCCAUGCCGCGUGUGUGAAGAAGGUCUUCGGAUUGUAAAGCACUUUAAGUUGGGAGGAAGGGUUGU